This 253-nucleotide ribosomal RNA is filed under the name uncultured bacterium. RNAcentral's name for it is "partial 16S ribosomal RNA". It matches the Rfam family "Bacterial small subunit ribosomal RNA", at positions 524 to 776 of the family's 1533-position model. The record is from RNAcentral.
UACGUAGGGGGCUAGCGUUGUCCGGAAUUACUGGGCGUAAAGGGCUCGUAGGCGGCCAACUAAGUCGGACGUGAAAUCCCCAGGCUCAACCUGGGAACUGCGUCCGAUACUGGAUGGCUUGAAUCCGGGAGAGGGAUGCAGAAUUCCAGGUGUAGCGGUGAAAUGCGUAGAUAUUCGGAAGAACACCAGUGGCGAAGGCGGCUCACUGGCCCGUUACCGACGCUCAGGCGCGACAGCGUGGGGAGCAAACAGG